UUAACUCCAAACUUACGUCUACAGCUCUGAUUGUGGUUAGACUUUAGCCUCUCAGCUCCUACUGUCUCCUGAGGACCUUCACCUCUCUAUUCAGUCAUCACUAUAAAUUUAGUUUGUCUAACCCAAACUUACCAUCUUUCCCUUUUAAACCAGCGCUUGCUCUGAAUUUCGUCCCUUGCUUUCUUGUUCUCUCAUUCAUUCAUCAAGUAUAAAGACUCCUAAUCACCCAUACUAGAAGCUUCAGUCAUCUUGAUUUCUCCCAGGCUUCCCAGCUUUUCAUCACUGGGUGACUAGACCAGUAACUAAAACAUUUGUUUUCUAACUGGUAUUCAUGCUUCUAAUCUUCCUCAAACCAACCCUUACCAACCCUUUACAUAGCUCUUGCCAGACUGACCUUCCCAAAAUACUCCCAGAUUGGCCGAGAGUAAUUUAGGAUUUCCAGUGGAAACUGCCUUCAUUCAGUCUCCUUGCAUUCCCUCGUUGGAAGUGUGUGGGCUACUCAUUGUGGAGGCCUCUUUUGUGCUGGCGCACAGGCUUAGUUUCUCCUUGGCAUGUGAGAUCUUCAUGGACCAGGGAUCGAACCCACGUUCCCUGCAUUGGCAGCUCCUCUCUUCCAGCCAAACUCAUCCAUACAUACCUCAGUGCAUACACCCAUAGUCCUGUCUAGACCUGUGAUAGUGCAUCCUGUGAAGACCUUCCCUUUGCUUAUCUAAGAACUCCUCUCCUUCAAGCCAUCCUACCCUCGAGAAGACUUCCUCCUCUAGAGAAAUCCUUUGCCACUUCUUCACGACCCAGAUAAUCACGAUGGUGUGAUCACUGACCUAGAGCCAGACAUCAUGGAAUGUGAAGUCAAG
Long non-coding RNA from Bos taurus (domestic cattle), 854 nucleotides. The record is from Ensembl. Lineage: Eukaryota; Metazoa; Chordata; Mammalia; Artiodactyla; Bovidae.